This 511-nucleotide ribosomal RNA is filed under the name Fusarium pseudograminearum. Its description in RNAcentral is "partial 18S ribosomal RNA". The stretch from base 184 to 337 matches the Rfam family "5.8S ribosomal RNA". Lineage: Eukaryota; Fungi; Ascomycota; Sordariomycetes; Hypocreales; Nectriaceae. The record is from RNAcentral.
CCCGUUAGGGUGAACCUGCGGAAGGGGAUCAUUACCGAGUUUACAACUCCCAAACCCCUGUGAACAUACCUUAUGUUGCCUCGGCGGAUCAGCCCGCGCCCCCGUAAAACGGGACGGCCCGCCGCAGGAACCCCAAACUCUGUUUUUAGUGGAACUUCUGAGUAUAAAAAACAAAUAAAUCAAAACUUUCAACAACGGAUCUCUUGGUUCUGGCAUCGAUGAAGAACGCAGCAAAAUGCGAUAAGUAAUGUGAAUUGCAGAAUUCAGUGAAUCAUCGAAUCUUUGAACGCACAUUGCGCCCGCCAGUAUUCUGGCGGGCAUGCCUGUUCGAGCGUCAUUUCAACCCUCAAGCCCAGCUUGGUGUUGGGAGCUGCGUCCGCGCACUCCCCAAAUACAUUGGCGGUCACGUCGAGCUUCCAUAGCGUAGUAAUUUACACAUCGUUACUGGUAAUCGUCGCGGCCACGCCGUUAAACCCCAACUUCUGAAUGUGACCUCGGAUCAGGAAGAAUC